AUUCAUUACUAGUAGAGAUAUUUGAAAAACAGGAGAAAAAUCUGGAAACACAAAUUAAGUGAAAAGUCAGCGGAAAAGAAAUAUUCAGGCGAAUUGAGGAACGAAGAGUCGAAGAAAGGAAACAGUUGAAAUAUGGCAGAUUUGGAAGAUGAGUUUGACGUGGUCAAGUCUUUUAAACUGAUCGUGCACAAACUUCUGCUGGCUCUCGCAUUCUGUCUGUCUCUAUUCGGCCUUCUCCUCAUCGUCAUCCUGCGCAAUGGAGUCGAAAGGAAGAUUGACGAGAUGGUGUUGCGGAAAAGCUUGGAAAUGUUGUUCAGCGGAGAAGCGAUGAACGUUAUGCAGACUUAGUUGAAUUGUACACAACGCAAAAA
This is a long non-coding RNA of Symsagittifera roscoffensis, 371 nucleotides long. RefSeq lists it as uncharacterized. The record is from RefSeq and is a predicted model, not a curated record. The transcript is spliced from 4 exons. Lineage: Eukaryota; Metazoa; Xenacoelomorpha; Acoela; Convolutidae.